Molecule: ribosomal RNA, 840 nt
Filed under: Pezicula cinnamomea
Lineage: Eukaryota; Fungi; Ascomycota; Leotiomycetes; Helotiales; Dermateaceae
Description: eukaryotic LSU rRNA
Rfam family: Eukaryotic large subunit ribosomal RNA
Source: RNAcentral
CCUUAGUAACGGCGAGUGAAGCGGUAACAGCUCAAAUUUGAAAUCUGGGUCUUUUAGGCUCCGAGUUGUAAUUUGUAGAAGAUGCUUUGGGUGCGGCCCCGGUCUAAGUUCCUUGGAACAGGACGUCAUAGAGGGUGAGAAUCCCGUAUGUGAUCGGUGGCUUGCGCCCGUGUAAAGCUCUUUCGACGAGUCGGGUUGUUUGGGAAUGCAGCUCUAAAUGGGUGGUAAAUUUCAUCUAAAGCUAAAUAUUGGCCAGAGACCGAUAGCGCACAAGUAGAGUGAUCGAAAGAUGAAAAGCACUUUGGAAAGAGAGUUAAACAGUACGUGAAAUUGUUGAAAGGGAAGCGCUUGCAACCAGACUUGCGCGGGGUUGAUCAUCCGGGGUUCUCCCCGGUGCACUCGGCCUCGCUCAGGCCAGCAUCGGUUUUGGUGGUUGGAUAAAGGCCUUGGGAAUGUGACUUCUUUCGGGGAGUGUUAUAGCCCUCGGUGCAAUGCAGCCUACCGGGACCGAGGACCGCGCUUCGGCUAGGAUGCUGGCGUAAUGGUUGUAAGCGACCCGUCUUGAAACACGGACCAAGGAGUCUAACAUCUAUGCGAGUGUUUGGGUGUCAAACCCAUACGCGUAAUGAAAGUGAACGGAGGUGAGAACCCUUAAGGGUGCAUCAUCGACCGAUCCUGAUGUCUUCGGAUGGAUUUGAGUAAGAGCAUAGCUGUUGGGACCCGAAAGAUGGUGAACUAUGCCUGAAUAGGGUGAAGCCAGAGGAAACUCUGGUGGAGGCUCGCAGCGGUUCUGACGUGCAAAUCGAUCGUCAAAUUUGGGCAUAGGGGCGAAAGACUAAU